Small nucleolar RNA from Talpa occidentalis (Iberian mole), 134 nucleotides. RefSeq annotates it as small nucleolar RNA SNORA70. The record is from RefSeq and is a predicted model, not a curated record. The transcript has a single exon. Lineage: Eukaryota; Metazoa; Chordata; Mammalia; Eulipotyphla; Talpidae.
GGGCAGCCAAUUAAGCCGACCGUGCUUCUCCUCCCAUGGGGCCCGGUGUGCAGUGGCUGCAAACAGCAGCCUCCUCGGUAGUGAGUGCAGCCUGUUGAUCAUAUAGGUUGCUCUAAGGGACCUUGGAGACAGCC